AUCACCUGGGGAUCUUGUUAAAAUGCAGAUUCUGAUUUAGUAGGACUGCAGUGUGGCCUGAGAUUCUGCAUUUCUAACAGGCUCCCAGAUGAUGGUGG
Molecule: microRNA precursor, 98 nt
Filed under: Callithrix jacchus (white-tufted-ear marmoset)
Lineage: Eukaryota; Metazoa; Chordata; Mammalia; Primates; Cebidae
Description: mir-544 microRNA precursor family
Rfam family: mir-544 microRNA precursor family
Source: Rfam by way of RNAcentral